RNAcentral lists this transfer RNA (59 nucleotides) under Metacrangonyx dominicanus. RNAcentral's name for it is "transfer RNA Proline". Lineage: Eukaryota; Metazoa; Arthropoda; Malacostraca; Amphipoda; Metacrangonyctidae. The record is from RNAcentral.
CAGAGAGUAGUUUUUAAAAUAAUAAUUUUGGAUAUUAUAGUUGAGUGUAUCCUUUCUGA